CCUAGCAAAGGUCAAGGCACAGCCAUCCACCACCACCUGCCCUCCUCCACUCUGGGAGCUUCCAUUCGGGUUCUGAAAUCUAAGCCUUAUAAGAAGAAACAUCAGAGGGAAUCUGGGGGACUCCUUUAGGAGGUACCAGUUCUAGGGAUUUUGCUGGGCUUUUCAAAGGGCCUUCCAUUGGAUAUUCCCACCUAAAAUGCUUCCGGCUUGCCGUACCUCAGAACACAGUGCUUGGCACAUAGCAGUUUUAAGGUACCAGAUGCAGUCUCCACUGGCGUCACGGCAACAUUGGAACCAGGACUGUGGGAAGGAUGCUGCAGCCAGGCUGGCAGGAAACCCCAAGAAGCCAAGGUGCCUGGAGCUCAAACCCAAGGUCCUCUAUAAUUUGGAUCCAACAUGGAUGAUUUUACAUAAGAAGAUGUGCAGAGAGCAACUAUCCUGA
Molecule: long non-coding RNA, 442 nt
Filed under: Monodelphis domestica (gray short-tailed opossum)
Lineage: Eukaryota; Metazoa; Chordata; Mammalia; Didelphimorphia; Didelphidae
Description: lncRNA (ENSMODG00000031501.2)
Source: RNAcentral